This 1241-nucleotide unclassified non-coding RNA is filed under the name Hevea brasiliensis (rubber tree). Lineage: Eukaryota; Viridiplantae; Streptophyta; Magnoliopsida; Malpighiales; Euphorbiaceae. The record is from RNAcentral.
CAACUCGUGCAUCUGUUGGUAGCUUCAAAGUCUACAUUUGGUAUUAGACAACAAGAAGAAGAGCCUCACCUUAUGGAUUUAUAAGCAGACUUGAUUCGAAACACAAAACUGAAAAAGGCUGCCUUUAACUAAGAAUAAGUUGAAGCAUGCCAAAUUCAGAUAAGAUUGAUAUGUCAAGUAUAAAGAAAGCUAAGUUUAGGUAGACUUCUGCAAUUUCAUCUGUUUGAAGCAAUUCAUUUCCUUGGACAUAGCAAAGUAUGUAAACCAUUUUUAAUUGAAGAUGCUUUUAUUUCUCCUACUAAAACUAGAUAGUAAUAGUACAGUAUGCAACCACUGCAAUAGUUCCUAUCAUAUGCCUUAAGUAUUACCACCUUGGAAGUCCUCAAUUCAUUCACUGCCAUGCGAAGAGAGUCAUCAGAUAAUAUCAACCGUGAUAGUGCCCCUGUGCUUAACCCCAGAAAUUUUGCUGCAUCUGAUAUAGAACCCUCAACAGCAAAUACUAGAUCCAGCAACGCUUGCAUUCCCUACAGUAUAAAGUUUUCAAAAUAAACUUAGGAUUGUUAGGCCCUAUUUGAGGACCGCAAUAUGACCCUCUAAACGUCGACUUAGGAGGAAGAAUUUGAAGAAGCUCAGGAGGCGGCGAAUAUGCAUCAAGAUCCAGAGUGUUCCUGACUAACUCAAAAGUAGUACAGUAGGAGAAAACUAAACUAUUGUUCAUAUUAUUAUUACAAAAAUUAAGAAAAAAAAGCAAUAAAUACCUCUGACGGCUAAAAGGGUGCGCAGGCGUCUUAAAGCUGAAGCACGAUUCUUGUGCUGUGAACGGUCCUCAACAGCCUGAGAAAUAAUACCGGUGGGGAUGUGUUUGAGGCGGACGGCGGACUCGCGCUUGUUGCGGUGCUGACCACCAGGGCCCGACGCCUUGAAUGUGUCCAUCACGCACUGUUUCAUGAGUUCCUCGUCAGUUAAUUCCAAGUAUUUGCUUCCAAUUAUAUUACUAGCAGCGCUGUGAGUAAAACAACACAGUUGGAAUUCUGGGCGCAUGCUUGUUAUCGUUGUCGUAUUUGUAUUGUUACAGAAGAAACUGCGACUGUAAUGGGCCACAAUACAGCCAUUACUUGUGCUUCUGCUUAUGCGUCUGCUUGCAAAUCUAAGAAGAGAAUUGGAUUUCCAUGCCAGCUGAGUUGCCAUUGACAUCUUGUGGAAAGUGUUCCCAAACAUUCCGACCAAGGGAAUUAUAUUUG